This 382-nucleotide ribosomal RNA is filed under the name uncultured eukaryote. RNAcentral's name for it is "partial 18S ribosomal RNA". It matches the Rfam family "Eukaryotic small subunit ribosomal RNA", at positions 592 to 976 of the family's 1831-position model. The record is from RNAcentral.
CAAUAGCGUAUGUUAAAGUUGUUGCAGUUAAAAAGCUCGUAGUUGGAUUUCUGGUUGAAGCGACCGGUCGGGCGUUGAUUCGUCUGCACUGGAGUCGGUUUUGGCCAUCCUCUAGGAAAGUGCGUCUGGUAUUAAGUUAUCGGGCGUAUGAUCCUGGUCUUUUACUGUGAAAAAAUUAGAGUGUUUAAAGCAGGCCUUCGCCUUGAAUACAUUAGCAUGGAAUAAUAAGAUAGGACUUUGGUCUAUUUUGUUGGUUUGCAGACCGAAGUAAUGAUUAAUAGGGAUAGUUGGGGGUAUUUAUAUUCCGAUGUCAGAGGUGAAAUUCUUAGAUUUUCGGAAGAUAAACUUAUGCGAAAGCAUUUACCAAGGAUGUUUUCAUUAA